Molecule: ribosomal RNA, 383 nt
Filed under: uncultured bacterium
Lineage: Bacteria
Description: bacterial SSU rRNA
Rfam family: Bacterial small subunit ribosomal RNA
Source: RNAcentral
AGUUUGAUCCUGGCUCAGGAUGAACGCUAGCGGCAGGCUUAAUACAUGCAAGUCGUGGGGCAGCACAGGUAGCAAUACUGGGUGGCGACCGGCAAACGGGUGCGGAACACGUACGCAACCUUCCUUUAAGUGGGGGAUAGCCCAGGGAAACUUGGAUUAAUACCCCUUAAUAUUAUGAGAUGGCAUCAUUUUAUAAUUAAAGCUCCGGCGCUUAAAGAUGGGCGUGCGCCUGAUUAGGUAGUUGGCGGGGUAACAGCCCACCAAGCCUACGAUCAGUAACUGGUGUGAGAGCACGACCAGUCACACGGGCACUGAGACACGGGCCCGACUCCUACGGGAGGCAGCAGUAAGGAAUAUUGGUCAAUGGACGCAAGUCUGAACCA